This 89-nucleotide transfer RNA is filed under the name [Torrubiella] hemipterigena. RNAcentral describes it as "Torrubiella hemipterigena tRNA". It matches the Rfam family "tRNA". From Rfam's summary of the family: Transfer RNA (tRNA) molecules are approximately 80 nucleotides in length. Their secondary structure includes four short double-helical elements and three loops (D, anti-codon, and T loops). The record is from Rfam by way of RNAcentral. Lineage: Eukaryota; Fungi; Ascomycota; Sordariomycetes; Hypocreales; Clavicipitaceae.
GCCUUUGUAGCUCAGUGGUAGAGCGUUUCACUCGUACCUUUCGCUCUUGCGUAAUGAAAAGGUCUUAGGUUCGAUCCCUAACUGAGGCA